This is a non-coding RNA of Gasterosteus aculeatus aculeatus (three-spined stickleback), 745 nucleotides long. The record is from RefSeq and is a predicted model, not a curated record. NCBI's taxonomy places the organism in Eukaryota, Metazoa, Chordata, Actinopteri, Perciformes, Gasterosteidae.
UCAAAAUGUUUUAAUUAAGGUGGUUGGUACUUCUGCAGUGAACAUAAGUGUUUCUUACUACACGUAUAAGUUUAAAGUUAACAGCAGCACGGUAGCUGCACCAUCACCCAGAGGAUGCAGGUGGAGCCGCUGAGCCGCUGUGAAAGAAUAAAACCAUUUCUGUUUAGAGCAACGUUUUCCUCCGAUAUGCUCAGAGCCUCGCCUGCCUGUGUUGAAGUUUAAUUUGACCUGGCAGCGUGCGGGAAAAACAAAACUGAGGAAAUGACAUUUGGAAAAGCAUCAGUGCGCUGUUGCCCCCGGAUACGAUGACUGAUGUAAUUACCUCAACGCCAUAAGAGUUCUCCCCCAAGACCCCCAACGUCUCAGGCUGACGGCUGGAGGUUGUGGGAAUGUUUGUGGAUCCAUUGUGUGCAGGAUGCGUCACGGACGAAAGAAUCAGACGAGAGUCGGCCUCCGUUGGCCGUCACACUGACCGAUUUCAACGCUCCUCUCGGGAUGUGAGGUGUCCUCUGCGGCCGUACCCCCAAAAACAUCUGGUGGACGCCCGAACGCAAACUCCUGCAGGAUCCUGCAGCUGAGCGGCCUUUCAGAGAACCCGGCUAACAACCUCGAAUGAGGACGUUGCCAGGCAGCAGGACCCGGAGACACACUUCGCCUUCCUCCCUCUCCAGGCGCCCGAAACAAGUCGAGCCUCCGCAGAAGGCGAGGGAGGCUUUCUGCUCAGAGAUGUUCCUGGCCGGUCCCC